AGAGUUUGAUCCUGGCUCAGAUUGAACGCUGGCGGCAGGCUUAACACAUGCAAGUCGAGCGGGGAAAGGUAGCUUGCUACCUGACCUAGCGGCGGACGGGUGAGUAAUGCUUAGGAAUCUGCCUAUUAGUGGGGGACAACAUCUCGAAAGGGAUGCUAAUACCGCAUACGUCCUACGGGAGAAAGCAGGGGACCUUCGGGCCCUGCGCUAAUAGAUGAGCCUAAGUCGGAUUAGCUAGUUGGUGGGGUAAAGGCCUACCAAGGCGACGAUCUGUAGCGGGUCUGAGAGGAUGAUCCGCCACACUGGGACUGAGACACGGCCCAGACUCCUACGGGAGGCAGCAGUGGGGAAUAUUGGACAAUGGGGGGAACCCUGAUCCAGCCAUGCCGCGUGUGUGAAGAAGGCCUUUUGGUUGUAAAGCACUUUAAGCGAGGAGGAGGCUACCGAGAUUAAUACCCUUGGAUAGUGGACGUUACUCGCAGAAUAAGCACCGGCUAACUCUGUGCCAGCAGCCGCGGUAAUACAGAGGGUGCAAGCGUUAAUCGGAUUUACUGGGCGUAAAGCGCGCGUAGGUGGCCAAUUAAGUCAAAUGUGAAAUCCCCGAGCUUAACUUGGGAAUUGCAUUCGAUACUGGUUGGCUAGAGUAUGGGAGAGGAUGGUAGAAUUCCAGGUGUAGCGGUGAAAUGCGUAGAGAUCUGGAGGAAUACCGAUGGCGAAGGCAGCCAUCUGGCCUAAUACUGACACUGAGGUGCGAAAGCAUGGGGAGCAAACAGGAUUAGAUACCCUGGUAGUCCAUGCCGUAAACGACGUCUACCAGCCGUUGGGGCCUUUGAGGCUUUAGUGGCGCAGCUAACGCGAUAAGUAGACCGCCUGGGGAGUACGGUCGCAAGACUAAAACUCAAAUGAAUUGACGGGG
RNAcentral lists this ribosomal RNA (916 nucleotides) under uncultured Gammaproteobacteria bacterium. RNAcentral's name for it is "bacterial SSU rRNA". It matches the Rfam family "Bacterial small subunit ribosomal RNA", at positions 8 to 918 of the family's 1533-position model. Lineage: Bacteria; Pseudomonadati; Pseudomonadota; Gammaproteobacteria. The record is from RNAcentral.